CCUACGGGGUGCAGCAGUGAGGAAUAUUGGUCAAUGGACGGAAGUCUGAACCAGCCAUGCCGCGUGCAGGAAGACGGCUCUAUGAGUUGUAAACUGCUUUUGUACAAGGGUAAACCUGAAUACGUGUAUACAGCUGAAAGUACUGUACGAAUAAGGAUCGGCUAACUCCGUGCCAGCAGCCGCGGUAAUACGGAGGAUCCAAGCGUUAUCCGGAUUUAUUGGGUUUAAAGGGGGCGUAGGCGGAUUGAUAAGUGAGAGGUGCAAUGUCCGCGCUUAACUCUGGAACUGCCUCUAAUACUGUUGAUCUAGCGAGUAGCUGCGGUAGGCGUCAUGUCUGGUGUAGCGGUGAACUGCUUAGAGAUCAUACAGAACACCGAUUGCGAAGGCAGCUUACCAAUCUAUAUCUGCCGUUGAGGCACGACAGCGUGGGGAGCAAACAGGAUUAGAUACCCGAGUAGUC
RNAcentral lists this ribosomal RNA (460 nucleotides) under uncultured bacterium. RNAcentral's name for it is "partial 16S ribosomal RNA". It matches the Rfam family "Bacterial small subunit ribosomal RNA", at positions 338 to 795 of the family's 1533-position model. The record is from RNAcentral.